This 97-nucleotide transfer RNA is filed under the name Paraburkholderia ultramafica. Its description in RNAcentral is "Burkholderia ultramafica tRNA-Pro". The record is from RNAcentral. Lineage: Bacteria; Pseudomonadati; Pseudomonadota; Betaproteobacteria; Burkholderiales; Burkholderiaceae.
ACAGCAGCGGCGGGCGCGGUCGGUGCCACCGGUUCGGGCUCGGCGCUCAACAGCACGGCGGUGAUGGUUCGCGGUUCGACAGGCCGCUCGACUGUUC